CGUAGGGUGCGAGCGUUAAUCGGAAUUACUGGGCGUAAAGCGUGCGCAGGCGGUUGGUUAAGUCUGAUGUGAAAGCCCCGGGCUCAACUUGGGAAUGGCAUUGGAAACUGGCUGGCUAGAGUGUGGCAGAGGGGGUGGAAUUCCGCGUGUAGCAGUGAAAUGCGUAGAGAUGCGGAGGAACACCGAUGGCGAAGGCAGCCCCCUGGGCUAGCACUGACGCUCAGGCACGAAAGCGUGGGGAGCAAACAGGAUUAGAUACCCUGGUAGUCCACGCCCUAAACGAUGGCAACUGGGUGUUGGGGAAGCGAUUCCUUGGUACCGUAGCUAACGCGUGAAGUUGCCCGCCUGGGGAGUACGGCCGCAAGGUUA
Molecule: ribosomal RNA, 369 nt
Filed under: uncultured organism
Description: bacterial SSU rRNA
Rfam family: Bacterial small subunit ribosomal RNA
Source: RNAcentral